GAGACGCGCCUGUUUCUUGCAGGAAACCUGUUGCCAACAUAGUCGGAAGCCAAGCAUCCCACCCACCUUCUGCCCCAGCUGUAGCAGUUAGUUGCCCGGCAACCCAGCGCAGCACUUCACUGAGGGAUUGGGAGUACCCUCAGGUCUUGGAUUUAACUCGAGACUUCAGCUUGGCCGUGGAUCACUGCAUUGUACCUAGCUCCCACAAGGAGGAGAUGGAGAUUUCCAGGCUGAGGCUCUGGAAAGAGCUGAGGAGGGAGAGGAAUCAGACCCACAACUGAUUUCCUGUGAGUCUGAGGAACUCCCAGUCAGGUUUCUUCCUGUAGGUCACUGUGCAUUUUGCUUGGCCUCCUGCAGGUUGCUGUGCAUUUUGCUUGGCCUGUUCCCCUGCAAACAACAAUUCACCAGCUUUUUUUUUUUUUUUUUUUUUUUUUUUU
Molecule: long non-coding RNA, 437 nt
Filed under: Homo sapiens (human)
Lineage: Eukaryota; Metazoa; Chordata; Mammalia; Primates; Hominidae
Description: HSALNT0365173
Source: RNAcentral